RNAcentral lists this ribosomal RNA (124 nucleotides) under uncultured Pleosporaceae. Its description in RNAcentral is "partial 28S ribosomal RNA". It matches the Rfam family "Eukaryotic large subunit ribosomal RNA", at positions 62 to 185 of the family's 3401-position model. Lineage: Eukaryota; Fungi; Ascomycota; Dothideomycetes; Pleosporales; Pleosporaceae. The record is from RNAcentral.
AAACCAACAGGGAUUGCCCUAGUAACGGCGAGUGAAGCGGCAACAGCUCAAAUUUGAAAUCUGGCUCUUUUAGAGUCCGAGUUGUAAUUUGCAGAGGGCGCUUUGGCUUUGGCAGCGGUCCAAG